GGCGGCGUGCUUAACACAUGCAAGUCGUGCGCGAAGGUGGCUUCGGCCACCGGAGAGCGGCGAACGGGUGAGUAACACGUGGGUAAUCUGCCUUGGAGUGGGGGAUAACCUGGGGAAACUCGGGCUAAUACCGCAUACGUCGGCGGGGUUGCGGCCCCGCCAAGAAAGCUGGCCUCUGCUUGCAUGCCAGCGCUCCUUGAGGAGCCCGCGGCUGAUUAGCUAGUUGGUGGGGUAAUGGCCCACCAAGGCGACGAUCAGUAGCCGGCCUGAGAGGGUGAUCGGCCACACUGGGACUGAGACACGGCCCAGACUCCUACGGGAGGCAGCAGUGGGGAAUAUUGGACAAUGGGCGCAAGCCUGAUCCAGCAACGCCGCGUGGAGGACGAANGUCUUCGGAUCGUAAACUCCUGUCAGGCGGGACGAAAAGGCGCCGGUGAACAGCCGGCGUCCAUGACGGUACCGCCAGA
This 467-nucleotide ribosomal RNA is filed under the name uncultured bacterium. RNAcentral describes it as "bacterial SSU rRNA". It matches the Rfam family "Bacterial small subunit ribosomal RNA", at positions 38 to 485 of the family's 1533-position model. The record is from RNAcentral.